GUGGGUGUAGCUCAGCUGGUUAGAGCACCAGGUUGUGGCCCUGGGGGUCGAGGGUUCAAAUCCCUUCACUCACCCCA
RNAcentral lists this transfer RNA (77 nucleotides) under Myxococcales bacterium. Its description in RNAcentral is "tRNA-His". It matches the Rfam family "tRNA". Rfam says of the family: Transfer RNA (tRNA) molecules are approximately 80 nucleotides in length. Their secondary structure includes four short double-helical elements and three loops (D, anti-codon, and T loops). RNAcentral also lists the same sequence under 1 other name. The record is from RNAcentral. Lineage: Bacteria; Pseudomonadati; Myxococcota; Myxococcia; Myxococcales.